CCUACGGGUGGCAGCAGUGGGGAAUAUUGCACAAUGGGGGAAACCCUGAUGCAGCGACGCCGCGUGAGUGAAGAAGUAUUUCGGUAUGUAAAGCUCUAUCAGCAGGGAAGAAAAUGACGGUACCUGAUUAAGAAGCCCCGGAUAACUACGUGCCAGCCGCCGCGGUAAUCCGUAGGGGGCAAGCGGUAUCCGGAUUUACUGGGUGUAAAGGGAGCGUAGACGGCAGCACAAGUCUGGAGGGAAAGGCCGGGGCUUAACCCCGGAACUGCAUUGGAAACUGGGCAGCUAGAGUGAAGGAGAGGUAAGUGGAAUGACUAGGGUAGCGGUGAAAUGCGUAGAUAUUAGGAGGAACACCAGUGGCGAAGGCGGCUUACUGGACUGUAACUGACGUUGAGGCUCGAAAGCGUGGGGAGCAAACAGGAUUAGAUACCCUUGUAGUC
RNAcentral lists this ribosomal RNA (440 nucleotides) under uncultured bacterium. RNAcentral's name for it is "partial 16S ribosomal RNA". It matches the Rfam family "Bacterial small subunit ribosomal RNA", at positions 338 to 795 of the family's 1533-position model. The record is from RNAcentral.